This 414-nucleotide ribosomal RNA is filed under the name Triticum aestivum (bread wheat). RNAcentral describes it as "partial small subunit ribosomal RNA". Lineage: Eukaryota; Viridiplantae; Streptophyta; Magnoliopsida; Poales; Poaceae. The record is from RNAcentral.
AUGGCCGGCCACGGCCGAGCUGGCCGUUGGCGUCAGAUGGCAGCCGCCUGUGUUCCAGGCGCCUCGCCAGUCAUGGUUGUGGUGCGCGUGGUGGUGCCGCUCGCAGCUUCAAUGCUCCAGGCACGCCGCUCACCGCCGUUGUCAUGGCCGGUGGCUGGACUUGGGAAGUCCACCUUGCUAGCAAACAACAUUCGUGGUUUGCAGAAGAUGACUGAUGCAAGCGGUUGCAAAAUAAAGGGAAGAAAUGAGUGGAGGGAAGAGAUUGGAGAAGAGAUAAGGUUAGGAAGAGAGAUGUGGGUGGACCAUGGGGGCACGUGUUGUUUAGGGGAGGCGGAUGACGCAUUGGAGUUUUCCGCCGGCAGAAUGGCAACUUUUCCCUUAUUUUAUUUCAAAAGUACUGUGUAUGAAAUUUGA